RNAcentral lists this ribosomal RNA (249 nucleotides) under uncultured bacterium. RNAcentral's name for it is "partial 16S ribosomal RNA". It matches the Rfam family "Bacterial small subunit ribosomal RNA", at positions 355 to 596 of the family's 1533-position model. The record is from RNAcentral.
UGGGGAAUUUUGGACAAUGGGGGAAACCCUGAUCCAGCCAUUCCGCGUGUGCGAUGAAGGCCUUCGGGUUGUAAAGCACUUUUGGCAGGAAAGAACACGCACAAAUUAAUACAUUGUGUGGAUGACGGUACCUGCAGAAUAAGCACCGGCUAACUACGUGCCAGCAGCCGCGGGAAUACGAAGGGGGCAAACGUUAUUCGGAAUCACUGGGCUUAAAGCGCGCGUAGGCGGGUGGUCAAGUCAAAGGAG